Molecule: long non-coding RNA, 1057 nt
Organism: Cyprinus carpio (common carp)
Lineage: Eukaryota; Metazoa; Chordata; Actinopteri; Cypriniformes; Cyprinidae
Source: Ensembl
CUUCCAUCCAAUCCCAUGUCCCUCUCUCUUAUCUACUUCUGAAUGACUAUGGUUAAAGGCUUAUUAGUUAUUCACUUAAAUAUUCUGAGUCUUCUUAAAGCAUGGCUCUCUUAUAACAAACCUGCUGUUAUUACUCUGUCUGAAACUUGGUUAAAUAGUAAUGUACGUGAUGAUGAAAUAAAUCUCGAUGGUUAUAAUGUAUAUAGAGCAGACAGAGGCAGUCGUGGUGGAGGAGUUGCUACUUAUGUUUCUACAAGUUUAUCUUCUGAGCUUAUUAUUGCUAGUGAAAGCCCCAUGCAUUUUGAAUGCCUUUUUGUUAGAAUAUGUUUUCAUCAAAACAAACGGUUGAUCAUAGGAAACAUAUACAGACCCCCUAAUUCUCCAUCCGAAUCAAUAAAUAAUAUUCUUAGUACUAUUAAUUCCUUAAAUUGUCUUGAUAAAUUUAUAGUAUUGGGAGAUUUCAAUCGAAAUUGGCUUGAUAGGUCCUCUUUGAAAGAGAAGAAUCAGUUUGAAAGCCUAAAUCUUACUCAAUUAAUACAAGAGCCUACCAGAGUGGAGGGGAACUCCAGGUCUCUCUUAGACUGGAUCUUGGUCACGCAUCCCGAUAGAAUUGUUGAUUCAGGUGUUUUAUCUGAUUGCUUAAGUGACCAUUUAGUUAUCUUUUGUAUCUGGAAAAUAAGGUUACCUCGUCUACCACCUAAAAUAAUCAAGGUAAGACUAUUUAAAAAUAUGAAUAAUGAUGCAUUUAUUCAAGAUUUGUUAUGUAUUAAUUGGAACAGGAUGGAAUUAAUUCCUUAUGUUGAUGAUGCCUGGAAUUUCUUUUAUACUGAGGUAUUAAAAGUUAUAGAUAAACAUGCUCCAUGGGCAUCAGUCAAAGUGAAGGGUAGACAUCUACCAUGGAUUGCUGGUGACUUAAUAUAUCUAUUUAAGCAAAGGGACAAGGCUUGGGAAAAAUACCAUUUAACAAAAGAUCUGGCAGAUUGGAUUGAAUAUAAGCGAUUAAGAAAUGUAUGUACUGUUAAAACAAGAAAUGCCAAAUCUGACUAUUAUAAAAAUU